This 2028-nucleotide ribosomal RNA is filed under the name human gut metagenome. Its description in RNAcentral is "bacterial LSU rRNA". It matches the Rfam family "Bacterial large subunit ribosomal RNA", at positions 492 to 2524 of the family's 2925-position model. The record is from RNAcentral.
GAACCAGUACUGUGAAGGAAAGGCGAAAAGAACCCCGGGAGGGGAGUGAAAUAGAUCCUGAAACCGCAUACAUACAAACAGUAGGAGCCUCUUUAUGGGGUGACUGCGUACCUUUUGCAUAAUGGGUCAGCGACUUACGUUUAGCGGCAAGCUUAACCGAUUAGGGGAGGCGCAGCGAAAGCGAGUUCGAACAGAGCGACUGAGUCGUUAGGCGUAGACCCGAAACCAGAUGAUCUAUCCAUGGCCAGGUUGAAGGUGUGGUAACACACACUGGAGGACCGAACCGACUAGUGUUGCAAAAUUAGCGGAUGAGCUGUGGAUAGGGGUGAAAGGCUAAACAAAUCUGGAGAUAGCUGGUUCUCCCCGAAAACUAUUGAGGUAGUGCCUCGUGUAUGACUCCAGGGGGUAGAGCACUGUUAUGGCUAGGGGGACAUGGCGUCUUACCAAACCAUGGCAAACUCCGAAUACUUGGAAGUUUGAGCACGGGAGACAGAGCACCGGGUGCUAACGUCCGGACUCAAAAGGGAAACAACCCAGACCGCCGGCUAAGGUCCCUAAUAUUGACUAAGUGGAAAACGAAGUGGGAAGGCUAAGACAGUCAGGAAGUUGGCUUAGAAGCAGCCAUCCUUCAAAGAAAGCGUAAUAGCUCACUGAUCGAGUCUUCCUGCGCGGAAGAUGUAACGGGGCUAAGUCAAUAACCGAAGCCGCGGAUUCACGACUUGUCGUGAGUGGUAGGGGAGCGUUCUGUAAGCCUGCGAAGGCGGUUCGUAAGGACUGCUGGAGGUAUCAGAAGUGCGAAUGCUGACAUGAGUAACGUUAAAGCAGGUGAAAAGCCUGCUCGCCGUAAGCCCAAGGUUUCCUGCUCUACGUUCAUCGGAGCAGGGUGAGUCGGCCCCUAAGGCGAGGCUGAGAAGCGUAGCUGAUGGGAACAAGGUUAAUAUUCCUUGACCGCCGUUGAGUGCGAAGGGGGGACGGAGUGUUGAAGAUCAUCCGGGUGUUGGAUGUCCCGGUUUGUGAACGUAGGAGGCCGGCAGGCAAAUCCGCCGGCGUAUCUCCGAGGUGAAGCAUCGAGGUCCGUAUGGACCGAAGUGAUCGGAUGGGCUCCCAGGAAAAGCCUCUAAGCUCCAGCUCAACGGGACCGUACCGCAAACCGACACUGGUGGGCGAGCUGAAUAUGCUCAGGCGCUUGAGAGAACUCAGGAGAAGGAACUCGGCAAAUUGACACCGUAACUUCGGGAUAAGGUGUGCCUCGGUAGCGUGAAGGAAGAAACAUCCGGAGCGUGAAGAGGUCUCAGAGAAUCGGUGGCUGCGACUGUUUACUAAAAACACAGCACUCUGCAAAGACGAAAGUCGACGUAUAGGGUGUGAUGCCUGCCCGGUGCUGGAAGAUUAAUUGAUGGGGUGCAAGCUCCUGAUCGAAGUCCCAGUAAACGGCGGCCGUAACUAUAACGGUCCUAAGGUAGCGAAAUUCCUUGUCGGGUAAGUUCCGACCUGCACGAAUGGCAUAAUGAUGGCCACACUGUCUCCUCCCGAGACUCAGUGAAGUUGAAGUGUUUGUGAUGAUGCAAUCUCCCCGCGGCUAGACGGAAAGACCCCAUGAACCUUUACUGUAGCUUUGCAUUGGACUUUGAACCGAUCUGUGUAGGAUAGGUGGGAGGCUGUGAAACCGGGACGCCAGUACCGGUGGAGCCGUCCUUGAAAUACCACCCUGAUUUGUUUGAGGUUCUAACCUAGGUCGGUGAUCCCGAUCGGGGACCGUGCAUGGUAGGCAGUUUGACUGGGGCGGUCUCCUCCUAAAGGGUAACGGAGGAGUGCGAAGGUACGCUAGGUACGGUCGGAAAUCGUGCUGAUAGUGCAAUGGCAAAAGCGUGCUUGACUGCGAGACCCACAAGUCGAGCAGAUACGAAAGUAGGUCAUAGUGAUCCGGUGGCUCUGUAUGGAAGGGCCAUCGCUCAACGGAUAAAAGGUACUCUGGGGAUAACAGGCUGAUACCGCCCAAGAGUUCAUAUCGACGGCGGUGUUUGGCAC